GAUGAAGAACGUAGCGAAAUGCGAUAAGUAAUGUGAAUUGCAGAAUUCAGUGAAUCAUCGAAUCUUUGAACGCACAUUGCGCCCGCCAGUAUUCUGGCGGGUAUGCCUGUUCGAGCGUCAUUUCAACCAUCAAGCCCCCGGCUUGUGUUGGGGACCUGCGGCUGCCGCAGGCCCUGAAAACCAGUGGCGGGCUCGCUAGUCACUCCGAGCGUAGUAAUACAUCUCGCUCAGGGCGUGCUGCGGGUUCCGGCCGUUAAAAAGCCUUAUUUACCCAAGGUUGACCUCGGAUCAGGUAGGAAGACCCGCUGAACUUAAGCAUAUCAAUAAGCGGAGGA
RNAcentral lists this unclassified non-coding RNA (335 nucleotides) under soil metagenome. RNAcentral describes it as "partial contains 5.8S ribosomal RNA, internal transcribed spacer 2, and large subunit ribosomal RNA". The stretch from base 1 to 120 matches the Rfam family "5.8S ribosomal RNA", at positions 35 to 154 of the family's 154-position model. The record is from RNAcentral.